ACUUCCCGAGCCAAGAAAACACACCCAGAUGACCCGAACCCUGAGCAGGUAGCCACCUGGUUCAUCUCAUGUGAUGCUGCCAUGGGCUCCUGGCUCCGCGGCUGCGUGGUCCUGUUUUUCCUGGGCACAGGCCCUGUGGACACUAAGAUUACCCAGAUUCCAAAGCACCUGGUCACAGCAAUGGGAAGUAAGAGGACCCUGAACUGUGAGCAAUAUCUGGGACAUAAUGCUAUGUAUUGGUACAAGCAGGAGCCUGAGAAACCACUGGAGCUCAUGUUUUCUUACAACUAUAAGGAACUUGUUCAAAAUGAGACUGUGCCAAGUCGCUUCACACCUGACUGUCCUGACAGUGCUCACCUGCACCUUCACCUCUAUGCCCUGGAGCCAGGAGACUCAGCCGUGUAUCUCUGUGCCAGCAGCCAAGACACAGCCUUGCAGAGUCACUGCCUCCCUAUGCACAAACUCCCAGGUCCAGCCAGGAAGCUGUGGGGGCGAUGUGCUCCCCUGAGCGAUGAGGCUCUGUUCAGCUCUCCACAGGACCCGGACAGAAGCUCAGACCUUAAUCCUGCCUGGCAACUUAUUCAAUACGACAAUGCUAAAAGCCAUGCCCAGGACACCAGCAGCCUGAGGCUGGGCUUUGCCUUGAACAAGACUGUGCCUGCAGCUGAAUACAGGACAGAAACUCUCAACUUUAAGUUGUUCCAAGAAUCUUCCAAAGGCAAUGCCCCUAGAAAAUCUUAAUGCUCUGGCCCUACCCAUCCUUCCCAUAUACACCUUUCU
Molecule: non-coding RNA, 780 nt
Organism: Tupaia belangeri chinensis (Chinese tree shrew)
Lineage: Eukaryota; Metazoa; Chordata; Mammalia; Scandentia; Tupaiidae
Source: the annotation of a RefSeq genome assembly